UACGUAGGGGGCUAGCGUUAUCCGGAAUUACUGGGUGUAAAGGGUGCGUAGGUGGUUUCUUAAGUCAGAGGUGAAAGGCUACGGCUCAACCGUAGUAAGCCUUUGAAACUGGGGAACUUGAGUGCAGGAGAGGAGAGUGGAAUUCCUAGUGUAGCGGUGAAAUGCGUAGAUAUUAGGAGGAACACCAGUUGCGAAGGCGGCUCUCUGGACUGUAACUGACACUGAGGCACGAAGGCGUGGGGAGCAAACAGG
This 252-nucleotide ribosomal RNA is filed under the name uncultured bacterium. Its description in RNAcentral is "partial 16S ribosomal RNA". It matches the Rfam family "Bacterial small subunit ribosomal RNA", at positions 524 to 776 of the family's 1533-position model. The record is from RNAcentral.